CCCAGGCUAGGGGUCUAAUCGGAGCUGUAGCUGCCAGCCCACACCAGAGCCACAGCAACGCGGGAUCCGAGCCGCGUCUGCAACCUACACCACAGCUCACGGCAACGCCAGAUCCUUAACCCACUGAGCAAGGCCAGGGAUAGAACACUCAACCUCAUGGUUCCUAGUCGGAUUCGUUAACCACUUCGCCGCAACGGGAACUCCCAGAAUGAAGCUUUUUUUUAACAGCUUCAGCAUAUGGAAGUUCCCAAGCCAGAGGUCCAAUUGGAGCUGCAGCCUACACUACAACCACUGCAACAGCAGAUUUGAGCUGCAUCUGCAACCUAUGCCAUAGCUUGCAGCAAUGCUGGAUCCUUAACCCACUGAGCAAGGCCAGGGAUUGAACCUAUAUUCUCAGAGAGAGGACGUCAGGUCCUUAACCCACUGAGCCACAACAGAAACACCGAGCCACAAUGGAGCUAUCUAUGUAUGUGUGUAAACAUUAAUAUAUUAAUAUAUUUUUUCUUUUUCUUUUUUCUUUUUUUUUUUUUUUUUUUAGGGUCACGCCUGCAGCAUAGGGAGGUUCCUGGGCUAAGGGGUGAAUCAGAGCUGUAACUGCUGGCCUACACCACAGCCACAGCAACUCGGGAACAGAGCUGCAUCUGCGAUGUACACCAUAGCUCAUGGCAACACCGGAUCCUUAACCCAUUGAGUGAGGCCAGGGAUGGAACCCGCAUCCUCACGAAUGCUAGUCAUGUUCACUAACCACUGAGCCACAACGGGAACUCCAAUGUACUAAUAUUAAUGUAUCCUUAAAGUACAAGACUUUUAUGAUUAACAUGGUGCUAUGCCAGGUAAUAAAACCAGAAGAAACCUCUGGCUUAGUGGAGAGAAGUAAAUUAUUUUUGCAGCAUGGAUCUUAGUAACUGCUGCAUAAUGAUUUUAGGCGGAUUCUUAGAGCCUGACAGAGGGGAGUCAUGGGACUGGUUGUGCCAAGGGGAAGAAGCUGCAAACCGAGCCAAAGAAGAUUUGAAAAUAAGAGCUGUGUCAACAUGCAUAAAUUCACUUGCUUUGAAGAAGCUGCAAUGGGAUCCAGGAACAGGAACAAAGAAUAUUUAUUGUUUUGCCUUUGCAUGCCAAAAUGUAAUCUCUCUUUUUCUUCUACUUUUUCCUUAAAACAACAAUUGUCUGCAUGUAGAAUGAGUGUGUUUUAAAUGAACCAUUCAGUGCUUUUUUUUCUGCUCUCAUUUCCAGUGCUGAGCAGCAAUAUGAUAGCCUAGAAAUCUCCUGACUUUGGAGUCAGACUGACCCACACUUCAAGCCUGGCUCUGCCACGCACUUGUAUGUGCACUUCAGCAGAUCACUUGGCCUCGUUGUCUAUGUGUUUGUUUAUUUAUUUACUUAUUAUUUAUUUAUGUGUUUACACAGGGAAUAAACCUUGCUGGAUUGGGAGGAUUAAAAAUGACAUAUGUAAAGAACUCCCAGUACUUUAUAAAUACUGUGGCCAAUAGUGGACAUUCAAUAAUGGAGGCUGGAUAUAAGGACAAAGUAGUUUCAAAAAAAGAGCCCUGGCCAGGGAGCUGGGGCACCAGGGUCCUGUUACCAGAAAACUGGGUUCAUCUCUUGGUGGUUCUUGAGCCAAAAAACACAAUGAAGCCAAAGAUCUAUCGGGAGAAAGAAGGAGUUAUUACUUGCAACCACGUAAGGAGGACACUGGGGAUCCUUCCUUGAACAGCAAAAUUGGGGGAGUCUUUUGUUUAUUGUUUUGGCCCCACUCAUGGCAUGUGGAAUUUCCCUGGCUAGGGAUGGAACCUGCACCACAGCAGUGACCCAAGCCACUGCAGUGACAAUGCUGGAUCCUUAACCCACUAGGCCACCAGGGAACUCCAAAAAUGGCUUCUCUCAUGUCAGGAAAGCCACGCCUGGUCCUGUUUUUCUGGGGAACCCCUACCCUAGCUGCUUACAGUCAUGGUCCCUGAGCCUUCAUUUUACUAACAAGCAUCUAGUCUUGGGCUGGUCCCUCAAACUUUCUAGAUUUUUUUUUUCCAUUAGGGAAGGUGUGUUGGCUGGAGAUGUAGUUGAAGGGGCACUAGCAUGCCGUCACUAAUGCAUGGUGGAAAGUUCUUCGCUGGCAAGCUGAUCAUUGUGCUGUGGCAACACAGGUGAGCAAGCACACAAGUAAUUAGUCCUGCCUGGAUCAGGGUGUGUACAUGAGCUGGGCCUUGAAUGUUCACGUGUGGGCUUCUCCACUGUUGAAAGGAGGUGUUUCAGGACAAAGACCCAAAUGUCCAUCGGGUGAAAGCGUGUGGUGAGGCAAAACGGCGGCUCCCAGCCAACUCCACUGCAAUCAACUUCUGGGAUUAUCUCUGACGGCUGAGUUGCAUCACAAACAUUUAAGAUAGGUGGACCCUCUGGGUUUUGGAAAUCUUUUAGCUUUACUCUAGGGAAAUGGUAACUGAAAUAGGAAUUGCCCUGUAAACCCCCAGGUACUUACCAUUUGAACUGGGGCAAAGGAAACUACCAGUUAAACAAGUAGUCUUAACUUGGUAAUAGUAAUAACUGUUCCAUGGGUUGUUUCCAGUGCCAGGCACUGUUGAAGUGCUGUAUUUCUAUUAAUUUAUUUAAUCCUCAGAAUAACUGGGUGAAAGCGGUGCUGUUGUGAUACUUCCUUCACAGAUGAAGAAAUUUUGCCAAAGAUCUCUUGGUAAAGGUCACUCGCAAGCAAAUGGAAGAAUCAAGAUUAGGAUCCAGGGUGCUGACAAAGGCCCUGAUCCUAACCAUUCUGCAAACCGCCUUUCUAGAGACGGAGUAAGGAAGGAAUCGAUCUUAUAGGAAAGUAUAUAUUGAACUAGUGCUAACAGUCACCUCUUUGAGUAUAGCUCCAGUAAAUGCUGCAUUCAGAUGAGAAGCCAGGGCAUUUCUUGGGACCAAAACACGCACAAUUAUUGGCUUUGGUAACAGUUUUGAUUGUGUCACUAUUUGAGCGUAGGCGCUUAGAUAAUGCCCUGCAACAAUUCAGUCUCCCCUUCCCUAGUGCGCCAUUCUUUGCUGCAAGUGAGAAGAAAGGAGGAAGUGGGGUGGGUUGGACAGCAUUUCACUUGGAGAAUUGAGGGCUUUGUCAAGAGUUUCAAGUGGAGGCUGCCUUAAGGAAGGCUGGUCCUGGAGCUCCCUGGUGGCAUAGCAGGUUAAGGAUCCCGAGUUGUCUCUGCUGUGGUGCAGGUUCAGUGCCUGGCCUGGGAACUUCUGCAUGCUGUGGGCA
RNAcentral lists this long non-coding RNA (3238 nucleotides) under Sus scrofa (pig). Its description in RNAcentral is "lncRNA (ENSSSCG00000055294.1)". Lineage: Eukaryota; Metazoa; Chordata; Mammalia; Artiodactyla; Suidae. The record is from RNAcentral.